GAUGAACGCUGGCGGCGUGCCUAAUACAUGCAAGUCGAGCGAACAGAUAAGGAGCUUGCUCCUUUGACGUUAGCGGCGGACGGGUGAGUAACACGUGGGUAACCUACCUAUAAGACUGGGAUAACUUCGGGAAACCGGAGCUAAUACCGGAUAAUAUUUCGAACCGCAUGGUUCGAUAGUGAAAGAUGGUUUUGCUAUCACUUAUAGAUGGACCCGCGCCGUAUUAGCUAGUUGGUAAGGUAACGGCUUACCAAGGCGACGAUACGUAGCCGACCUGAGAGGGUGAUCAGCCACACUGGAACUGAGACACGGUCCAGACUCGUACGGGAGGCAGCAGUGGGGAAUAUUGGAAAAUGGGCGAAAGCCUGAGGGAGAAAGGCCGCGUGAGUGAAGAAGGUCUUCGGAUUGUAAAGCAUUUUAAGGUGGGAGGAAGGGCAGUAAGGUAAUACCUUGCUGUUUUGACGGUACCAAAAGAAAAAGCACCGGCUAACUUCGUG
Molecule: ribosomal RNA, 497 nt
Filed under: uncultured bacterium
Lineage: Bacteria
Description: partial 16S ribosomal RNA
Rfam family: Bacterial small subunit ribosomal RNA
Source: RNAcentral